RNAcentral lists this ribosomal RNA (272 nucleotides) under Escherichia coli. Its description in RNAcentral is "partial 16S ribosomal RNA". It matches the Rfam family "Bacterial small subunit ribosomal RNA", at positions 1 to 269 of the family's 1533-position model. The record is from RNAcentral. Lineage: Bacteria; Pseudomonadati; Pseudomonadota; Gammaproteobacteria; Enterobacterales; Enterobacteriaceae.
AAAUUGAAGAGUUUGAUCAUGGCUCAGAUUGAACGCUGGCGGCAGGCCUAACACAUGCAAGUCGAACGGUAACAGGAAGCAGCUUGCUGCUUCGCUGACUAGUGGCGGACGGGUGAGUAAUGUCUGGGAAACUGCCUGAUGGAGGGGGAUAACUACUGGAAACGGUAGCUAAUACCGCAUAACGUCGCAAGACCAAAGAGGGGGACCUUCGGGCCUCUUGCCAUCGGAUGUGCCCAGAUGGGAUUAGCUUGUUGGUGGGGUAACGGCUCACC